GCCUACAAUCAGUUGGAGGGCUUUUAUGGCCUGACAGCGUACCUCUUGCAUAAUGGGUCUGUGACUUAAUGUAUCAAGCAAGCUUAAGCCGUUAGGUGUAGGCGCAGCGAAAGCGAGUCUGAAUAGGGCGAUUCAGUCGCAUGUCCUAGACCCGAAGCGAAGUGAUCUAUCCAUGGCCAGGUUGAAGCGACGGUAAGACGUCGUGGAGGACCGAACCCACU
Molecule: ribosomal RNA, 221 nt
Filed under: uncultured Dinobryon
Lineage: Eukaryota; Chrysophyceae; Chromulinales
Description: partial Bacterial large subunit ribosomal RNA
Rfam family: Bacterial large subunit ribosomal RNA
Source: RNAcentral